CAGCUCUCCGAGUGGUAGGGAUGAUUAUUGGGCUUAAAGCGUCCGUAGCUGGCUUAGCAAGUCUCCUGUUAAAUUCGGCGACCUAAUCGUCGAGCCGCGGGAGAUACUACUAGGCUAGGAGGCGGGAGAGGCCGACGGUAUUCUCGGGGUAGGGGUGAAAUCCUAUAAUCCCGGGAGGACCACCAGUGGCGAAGGCUGUCGGCUAGAACGCGCUCGACAGUGAGGGACGAAAGCUGGGGGAGCAAAACGGAUUAGAGACCCGAGUAGUCC
This 270-nucleotide ribosomal RNA is filed under the name uncultured archaeon. Its description in RNAcentral is "partial 16S ribosomal RNA". It matches the Rfam family "Archaeal small subunit ribosomal RNA", at positions 477 to 747 of the family's 1478-position model. The record is from RNAcentral.